RNAcentral lists this transfer RNA (66 nucleotides) under Coleoptera sp. ACP-2013. Its description in RNAcentral is "tRNA-Gly". The record is from RNAcentral. Lineage: Eukaryota; Metazoa; Arthropoda; Insecta; Coleoptera.
UUUAUAUAAUAUAUAAAAUUAUAUUUGACUUCCAAUCAAAAAAACUAAAACUCUUAGUAUAAAUAA